This 504-nucleotide ribosomal RNA is filed under the name uncultured bacterium. Its description in RNAcentral is "bacterial SSU rRNA". It matches the Rfam family "Bacterial small subunit ribosomal RNA", at positions 30 to 524 of the family's 1533-position model. The record is from RNAcentral.
AUUGAACGCUGGCGGCAUGCUUUACACAUGCAAGUCGAACGGCAGCACGGGCUUCGGCCUGGUGGCGAGUGGCGAACGGGUGAGUAAUGCAUCGGAACGUGCCCAUUUGUGGGGGAUAACUACGCGAAAGCGUGGCUAAUACCGCAUACGCCCUGAGGGGGAAAGCGGGGGAUUCUUCGGAACCUCGCGCAAUUGGAGCGGCCGAUGUCAGAUUAGCUUGUUGGUGAGGUAAAGGCUCACCAAGGCGACGAUCUGUAGCGGGUCUGAGAGGAUGAUCCGCCACACUGGGACUGAGACACGGCCCAGACUCCUACGGGAGGCAGCAGUGGGGAAUUUUGGACAAUGGGGGCAACCCUGAUCCAGCCAUGCCGCGUGAGUGAUGAAGGCCCUCGGGUCGUAAAGCUCUGUGGAGAGGGACGAAAAACCUGGGGUCUAAUAGGCCCCGGACUUGACGGUACCUCUUUAGAAAGCACCGGCUAACUCUGUGCCAGCAGCCGCGGUAAA